UUUUGUGGUUGACCUAGAAAUGCUGCAAAUUCUUCAAUUCUUGGCUAUGACUUAGGACAGGCGUAGUUGUACUAUGAAUGUACUCCCAACAUCUGUUCUGAAGCUAGAGAACUUGCCUUUCCACCUUCGAAAAAUAAAUUUUGCCAAAUACUAGUACAAUUGUACUUGCCAUGGGGAUGAUAUUUUACUGGAGAUAUUAUGGAGCAUACUACCCCUCAAC
RNAcentral lists this long non-coding RNA (220 nucleotides) under Oryza brachyantha (malo sina). RNAcentral describes it as "long non-coding RNA (OBRA_LNC002742)". Lineage: Eukaryota; Viridiplantae; Streptophyta; Magnoliopsida; Poales; Poaceae. The record is from RNAcentral.